CAGCUUCUUGCUGUGGCUGGGGAAGUUCUAAAGGACAUUGGCUCCUGCAAUCCAUCAAUGGUCCAGCAUCACUUUACUGAAGAGUCCCAGCUGACAAUACAAGAGCACCAUCAGACCAAUCACUCCACACAGUGUGCUGGGGGAAAUCUUGGAAAUAGGACCACCUCAACGAUAUCAUAGCUG
Tachyglossus aculeatus (Australian echidna) is the source of this 183-nucleotide long non-coding RNA. RefSeq lists it as uncharacterized. The transcript has 3 exons. The record is from RefSeq and is a predicted model, not a curated record. Lineage: Eukaryota; Metazoa; Chordata; Mammalia; Monotremata; Tachyglossidae.